Molecule: ribosomal RNA, 450 nt
Filed under: uncultured bacterium
Lineage: Bacteria
Description: bacterial SSU rRNA
Rfam family: Bacterial small subunit ribosomal RNA
Source: RNAcentral
GUGGGGAAUAUUGGACAAUGGGCGAAAGCCUGAUCCAGCCAUGCCGCGUGUGUGAAGAAGGUCUUCGGAUUGUAAAGCACUUUAAGUUGGGAGGAAGGGCAGUAAGUUAAUACCUUGCUGUUUUGACGUUACCAACAGAAUAAGCACCGGCUAACUUCGUGCCAGCAGCCGCGGUAAUACGAAGGGUGCAAGCGUUAAUCGGAAUUACUGGGCGUAAAGCGCGCGUAGGUGGUUCAGCAAGUUGAAGGUGAAAUCCCCGGGCUCAACCUGGGAACUGCCUCCAAAACUACUGAGCUAGAGUACGGUAGAGGGUAGUGGAAUUUCCUGUGUAGCGGUGAAAUGCGUAGAUAUAGGAAGGAACACCAGUGGCGAAGGCGACUACCUGGACUGAUACUGACACUGAGGUGCGAAAGCGUGGGGAGCAAACAGGAUUAGAAACCCUGGUAGUCC